This 486-nucleotide ribosomal RNA is filed under the name uncultured Clostridia bacterium. Its description in RNAcentral is "bacterial SSU rRNA". It matches the Rfam family "Bacterial small subunit ribosomal RNA", at positions 9 to 520 of the family's 1533-position model. Lineage: Bacteria; Bacillati; Bacillota; Clostridia. The record is from RNAcentral.
GAGUUUGAUCAUGGCUCAGGACGAACGCUGGCGGCGUGCCUAACACAUGCAAGUCGAGCGGAGAACUUCGGUUCUUAGCGGCGGACGGGUGAGUAACACGUGGGUAACCUGCCUUAGUGAGGGGGAUAGCCUUCCGAAAGGAAGAUUAAUACCGCAUAAUAUUGUUUCUUCGCAUGAAGAGAUAAUCAAAGGAGCAAUCCACACUAAGAUGGACCCGCGGCGCAUUAGCUAGUUGGUGAGGUAACGGCUCACCAAGGCGACGAUGCGUAGCCGGCCUGAGAGGGUGAACGGCCACAUUGGAACUGAGACACGGUCCAGACUCCUACGGGAGGCAGCAGUGGGGAAUAUUGCACAAUGGGCGAAAGCCUGAUGCAGCAACGCCGCGUGAGUGAUGAAGGCCUUCGGGUUGUAAAGCUCUGUCUUCUGGGACGAUAAUGACGGUACCAGAGGAGGAAGCCACGGCUAACUACGUGCCAGCAGCCGCGG